GGUAGCUUCUUCAUAUGCAUUUUGUUUUUCUCGGAUUUUCUCCCCCUUCAACCUCCGUCGAUGCCCAAUACGUUCUCUUCAUUCCCACUAUCCUCCACUCUUGCCCAAUCCUUACAAACCCCAAUUCCUAUUCGAUUUUGAUAUUUAAAAACCCUUUAGUUUUCUGUGAUGAUUUCAGUGACAACCUUCUUCUUCUCUGUUCCCCUCAACCUUCCCUUUCUCCGAUUACACCAGCAACAUCGCCAUCUGCCCCGAUUGAGACUCCCCUUCCCUCAUCUCUUUAGUUUUCUGUGAUGAUUUCCCCUCCCCUUCAGAUUUGGAUUUUGGCUCUUAAUUUGUCUUUGGUUCUUUAGGGGUUGAAGAUAUGUUACCUGAUUUGCAUGGCAAAGGAGUAGAGGCUCUGAUGAUUACCAUGUCUUUUUGGUUUUGAAUGUUAAUUAUUUGGUUUCGUUUUGUAGGUAUGCAGAGAAUACAAUUAAGAUACACUGAAAGUCCGCGAUUCUUUAAGCCAAAGAAGAUUUUUCUAUGUUUAUUCGAAUUGUCUGGAGCAUCCUUCAUAGACAAUGAAAGAGAAAUUUGUUAGAUAAAACAAAAUGGUGGGCUUUGCUUGGAUAAAGGAGGAAGAGAAUCCGAACGAGAAGAAACUUGAGGAACCUAAUAAUUGAGAAGAGAAGAAAGAAUGAUAUGAGUUUGUGUGAGUAUGUGAUUGUGGAGACCCCAAGUUACAGGUGCUCGGAGCUCCUUCCUGAUUUUCCCUAUGGCUUCAACUCGGGUAUUUGGUUUUGAAUGAGAUACUUGGUUGGGAAGACUCCAUCCGAAUCUCUCACGAUGCAAGAUCAAUGCUUUCUCUAUCAUACUGUGUACCUGUGCUAAAAGAUAAUUAAUUAGUGUACAAAGUGGGUUCAAGAGAAACAACAAUAGUAGCAGAAGUGGUUUUUUUCAUGAGUGAUGAAAGAAUGAAGGGCCAAGUUUAUAGCAAGAGAGUCUUAUCUUUUGAGAGGAACAAUCAAUGCAGAAGCCUUUGCAGAUUGCUAUGAGUUCAUCAAAGGAACAUCUAUUUUUUCCAUGGAUCAAAUUUAAGAAACAAUUGCUCCCAUUCAUGUUGCUAACUCAUGACUCCUUUAAGUAGAGUGCAACUUGCAUAACAUUAUAAGUUUCUCUCUUUUUUGAUUUUUUUGGCACAAUAAUAUAGUAAAAUCUCUAGACUGAAGAUGUAAUUUUGUUUUUCUUUAC
Molecule: long non-coding RNA, 1233 nt
Organism: Lotus japonicus
Lineage: Eukaryota; Viridiplantae; Streptophyta; Magnoliopsida; Fabales; Fabaceae
Exons: 5
Source: RefSeq, a predicted model, not a curated record